This 502-nucleotide ribosomal RNA is filed under the name uncultured bacterium. RNAcentral's name for it is "bacterial SSU rRNA". It matches the Rfam family "Bacterial small subunit ribosomal RNA", at positions 29 to 527 of the family's 1533-position model. The record is from RNAcentral.
AUUGAACGCUGGCGGCAUGCCUUACACAUGCAAGUCGAACGGUAACAGGCCGCAAGGUGCUGACGAGUGGCGAACGGGUGAGUAAUAUAUCGGAACGUGCCCAGUCGUGGGGGAUAACGCAGUGAAAGCUGUGCUAAUACCGCAUACGAUCUACGGAUGAAAGCGGGGGAUCGCAAGACCUCGCGCGAUUGGAGCGGCCGAUAUCAGAUUAGGUAGUUGGUGAGGUAAAGGCUCACCAAGCCAACGAUCUGUAGCUGGUCUGAGAGGACGACCAGCCACACUGGAACUGAGACACGGUCCAGACUCCUACGGGAGGCAGCAGUGGGGAAUAUUGGUCAAUGGGCGGAAGCCUGAACCAGCCAUGCCGCGUGCAGGAUGACGGCCCUACGGGUUGUAAACUGCUUUUCCCCGGGGCGAAGUAACCCCCUCGCCGAGGGGAGUGCCGGUACCGGGGAAGUAAGGAAUCGGUUAACGUACCGUGCCAGCAGCCGCGGUAAGCACG